Molecule: ribosomal RNA, 707 nt
Filed under: Salmonella enterica
Lineage: Bacteria; Pseudomonadati; Pseudomonadota; Gammaproteobacteria; Enterobacterales; Enterobacteriaceae
Description: bacterial SSU rRNA
Rfam family: Bacterial small subunit ribosomal RNA
Source: RNAcentral
UGAAGAGUUUGAUCAUGGCUCAGAUUGAACGCUGGCGGCAGGCCUAACACAUGCAAGUCGAACGGUAACAGGAAGCAGCUUGCUGCUUUGCUGACGAGUGGCGGACGGGUGAGUAAUGUCUGGGAAACUGCCUGAUGGAGGGGGAUAACUACUGGAAACGGUGGCUAAUACCGCAUAACGUCGCAAGACCAAAGAGGGGGACCUUCGGGCCUCUUGCCAUCAGAUGUGCCCAGAUGGGAUUAGCUUGUUGGUGAGGUAACGGCUCACCAAGGCGACGAUCCCUAGCUGGUCUGAGAGGAUGACCAGCCACACUGGAACUGAGACACGGUCCAGACUCCUACGGGAGGCAGCAGUGGGGAAUAUUGCACAAUGGGCGCAAGCCUGAUGCAGCCAUGCCGCGUGUAUGAAGAAGGCCUUCGGGUUGUAAAGUACUUUCAGCGGGGAGGAAGGUGUUGUGGUUAAUAACCGCAGCAAUUGACGUUACCCGCAGAAGAAGCACCGGCUAACUCCGUGCCAGCAGCCGCGGUAAUACGGAGGGUGCAAGCGUUAAUCGGAAUUACUGGGCGUAAAGCGCACGCAGGCGGUCUGUCAAGUCGGAUGUGAAAUCCCCGGGCUCAACCUGGGAACUGCAUUCGAAACUGGCAGGCUUGAGUCUUGUAGAGGGGGGUAGAAUUCCAGGUGUAGCGGUGAAAUGCGUAGAGAUCUGG